GACGAACGCUGGCGGUGUGCUUAACACAUGCAAGUCGAACGGUAAGGCCCUUUCGGGGGUACACGAGUGGCGAACGGGUGCGUAACACGUGAGUAACCUGCCCUCAUCUCUGGGAUAACAGUCGGAAACGGUUGCUAAUACUGGAUAUGAGCUUGCUAUGCAUCUUGUUGGUUCGAAAGAUUUUUUUUGGUUGGGGAUGGACUCGCGGCCUAUCAGCUUGUUGGUGAGGUAGUGGCGCACCAAGGCUUCGACGGGUAGCCGGCCUGUGAGGGCGACCGGCCACAUUGGGACUGAGAUACGGCCCAAACUCGUACGGGAGGCAGCAGUGGGGAAUAUUGCACGAUGGACGGAAGUCUGAUGCAGCAACGCCGCGUGCGGGAUGACGGCCUUCGGGUUGUAAACCGCUUUCAAUUGUGACGAAGCUUUUUUGUGACGGUAGCAGUAGAAGAAGCACCGGCUAACUACGUG
Molecule: ribosomal RNA, 468 nt
Filed under: uncultured bacterium
Lineage: Bacteria
Description: partial 16S ribosomal RNA
Rfam family: Bacterial small subunit ribosomal RNA
Source: RNAcentral